UACGAAGGGUGCAAGCGUUACUCGGAAUUACUGGGCGUAAAGCGUGCGUAGGUGGUUUGUUAAGUCUGUUGUGAAAGCCCCGGGCUCAACCUGGGAAUGGCAAUGGAUACUGGCAGGCUAGAGUGCGGUAGAGGGUAGUGGAAUUCCCGGUGUAGCGGUGAAAUGCGUAGAGAUCGGGAGGAACACCAGUGGCGAAGGCGGCGACCUGGUCCGAGACUGACGCUGAGGCGCGAAAGCGUGGGGAGCAAACAGG
Molecule: ribosomal RNA, 253 nt
Filed under: uncultured bacterium
Lineage: Bacteria
Description: partial 16S ribosomal RNA
Rfam family: Bacterial small subunit ribosomal RNA
Source: RNAcentral